AGUGCCAAUUUGUCUUUAAUAUUGGAUUUAAACAUGGAUACAAUUUCAACUUCAUGAAUUGCAUUUGGACUAAAACGCUUAACCGCUUCUCCCAGUUUCCAACUCCGAACCCUGCCUCUAAUUCGAUAGACAGGCCUAUCUAUGUUACAUUACAAUAUGAUACUUCUGUACACCAUACACUUACCAAAGCCCUAAGACAUACAAACUAUAGGAUAAUUAAUAAACGGGGCCCCACUGCCUUCCAAACACUUCGUAAUGAUAAAGACCCUAUACCCCCUGAUAGAAGACCUGGUAUAUAUACUAGCCCUAUGAAUAAUAA
Molecule: long non-coding RNA, 319 nt
Filed under: Androctonus crassicauda
Lineage: Eukaryota; Metazoa; Arthropoda; Arachnida; Scorpiones; Buthidae
Source: RNAcentral